This 2211-nucleotide ribosomal RNA is filed under the name groundwater metagenome. Its description in RNAcentral is "bacterial LSU rRNA". It matches the Rfam family "Bacterial large subunit ribosomal RNA", at positions 1 to 1999 of the family's 2925-position model. The record is from RNAcentral.
ACGAGAGACAUAAGAGUGCGCGGUGGAUGCCUUGGCCUAGGACGGCGAAGAAGGACGCGACUAACCUGCGAUAAGCUUCGGGGAGGCGGUUUGUAGCCUGUGAUCCGGAGAUUUCCGAAUGGGGGAACCCUCCAAUCUUGAAUUGGAAUCCGCGAGGUAACGCUCGCGCGAAGCGAACCCGGGGAAGUGAAACAUCUCAGUACCCGGAGGAAAAGAGAACAAUACGUUAUUCCCCCAGUAGCGGCGAGCGAAAAGGGAAGAGCCCAAACCCUACUUCGCUCAUUGCUGCGCAGAUGAGCUACGAAGGGCACAGCCUCAAAAAUCGAGUGGGCCGUGCCCUACGAAGCUCGCUGGGCGGCAGCGAGCGGAGUAGGGGGUUGUAAGACAGGAGCUCCGUACUCGUACGGCACAAGUUACAAAGGAUUAUCAUAGCCGAAGCUGCUGGGAAGCAGCGCCCCAGAGGGUAAUGGCCCCGUAGGCGAAAUGCUAAUCUCUUGUGUGCUCCUGUUCUUGAGUAACUCGAGACACGAAUAGCUCGAGUGAAUCUGCCGGAACUAACCGGUAAGGCUACAUACGUCCUAUGACCGAUAGCGAACUAGUACCGUGAGGGAAAGGUGAAAAGAACCCCGAGAGGGGAGUGAAAUAGAACUGAAACCGCGCACUUACAAAGGGUCGGAGCCCGCCAACAUUCUUUCGCAAGAAAGUUUGGGCGGGUGACGGCGUGCCUAUUGAAGAAUGAGUCGGCGAGUGUAUGUAUCUUGCGUAGCUAAGCCCUUCCGGGGCGGAGCUGUAGGGAAACCGAGCGUUAAUAGCGCGUUUGUAGGAUACAUACGACCCGAAGCCAGGUGAGCUUACCAUGAGCAGGGUGAAGUGCGUCGAAAGACGCAUGGAGGCCCGAACCCGUACGUCGUACAACGCGUUGGGAUGACUUGUGGUAAGGAGUGAAAAGCUAAUCGAACCUGGGAAUAGCUGGUUCUCUCCGAAACAGCUUUUGGGCUGGCGUCGCCAUAUGUGCCUCUGGGGGUAGAGCACUGGAAGGGAUCAAUAGGGAGAAAUCUCGUGAUUCCUAUCAAACUCCGAAUACCAGAGUGCCCGGGCGGCAGUUAGAAGGUGGGGGCGAAGCUCCAUCGAUCGAGAGGGGAAGAGCCCAGAUCGCCAGUUAAGGCCCCAAAAUCGACGCUCAGUACAUCACAAGGAAGUGCGGACUCAUUGACAGUGAGGAGGUUGGCUUAGAAGCAGCCAUCCUUUAAAGAAAGCGUAACAGCUCACUCAUCGAGAGUCCGUGCGCCGAAGAUGAUCGGGGUUAAGCGUCGUGCCGAAACUGCGGGCCCGCCAACAUCUGCGAAGUUGUGGCGGGCGGUAGGAGAGCGUUCCGUUCGCAAUGAAGCCAAAGGGGUGACCCAUGGUGGAGCGUACGGAAGUGAGAAUGCCGAUACAAGUAACCACAAUGCGGGUGAGAACCCCGCACGCCGAAAGACCGAGGUUUCCUAAGCUAUGGUGAUCAACUUAGGGUUAGUCGGGCCUAAGGGGAUGGCGAAAGCCGCACCCGAUGGACACAUGGUUAAUAUUCCAUGACCACGUUAUGGGCGACGGAGUGACGGACUGCUGUAUGCGCUGCCCAUUAUUGGAUUUGGGUUGGUGCCGUGAGGAGGUGUGGUAGGUAAAUCCGCCAUGCAUUACUCCAAACGGUGACACAAUUUCCUUCUACGGAGGGAGAGAGGGUGCAAAGCGCGGUUCCAAGAAAACCUUCUAGCAUUAACCGUAACGUGACCGUACCGCAAACCGACACAGGUGGUCAGGUCGAGAAGACUAAGGCGAACGAGUGAGAUGUCCUCAAGGAACUCGGCAAACAAGCGGCCGUAAGUUAGCGAUAAGGCCUUCCGCCCAAACUUCUCUUCGGAGAAGAAUGUUGGCGGACGCAGUGAACAUUUUCCUGGCAACUGUUUACCAAAAACACAGCUCCCUGCGAACUCGUAAGAGGAUGUAUAGGGGGUGACACCUGACCAAUGCCGGUAGGUUAAGUACGGGGGGUGUGCGCAUCACACUGCGUGUGAUGCUGAUAUUGAAAUAUUUAAACAUUUAAAUAUCAGCAUCGUGCAUAGCGCGAUGCGCAUGCUGGACUGUAUAUGCCCCGGUGAAUGUCGGCGAUAACUAUAAUCGUCCUAAGGUAGCGCAAUUCCUUGUCGGGUAAGUUCCGACGUGCACGAAUGG